Ictidomys tridecemlineatus (thirteen-lined ground squirrel) is the source of this 2532-nucleotide long non-coding RNA. Lineage: Eukaryota; Metazoa; Chordata; Mammalia; Rodentia; Sciuridae. The record is from Ensembl.
CCAGAGCAAGGCAGGGGGCCUGGCCGGCUCGGGGCCGCGGGGUCCUAGCGCGACGCCGCUGCUGGGGGCGGGAAGCGAGGAGGCCCGGGAGAGCGGAGGAGCCAAGGUGUCUCCAGCGGAGGUUUCCACAGCGGUUGCGGGAAUGUGGUGGGGAGGGUCCGUGAGGCGAGUUCAGGAGGAGCAGCCUCCCAGAGACAUCCCAGUGCAGGCCUCUUAGCAAGUCCCAGGCGGCCCACAGUCUAGACUCCUGUCCUGGCUUUACCUCCCAGCAUAGUCUGAAAUGUGCCUGCGCUCUGGUUGGACUGGCCUCAGUACUCCAUCUGCCUGCUGCCCCCAGGCCACCAUAUGCUGUAGAAGGCCUCUUAUAGUUACCCUGGCGUUGGGAGGGACUUGCUGCCAUCUCUCCAAGCCCACUGGUGAGCCCACUGAUGUUAAGGCUGCCUGCCUGAGUCUUGAUUGCAGACUUGAGCUCCUGAUUCUCCCGAAUGAGCCGCACCAGCUUCUUCAGUUCCUCAUUCUCCCGCACCAGCCUCUCUAUCUGAUGCCGAAGCCCCUCAUAAUUGGUGAGUAGAGACAUGCCCCAGGGCAGCAGGGAGGGUGCUGCCCACAGGAGGGCACUGCACCUGGAGGCUGCCCAGGGCCCCGGGCCUUGCCCGGGCUGGAAGAGGGUGCCAGAGUCUGCAAGGCUGGCCCAGCGGGCCCUGGGUAUUGUGAGGUCAGAGGUUGUACUCUCCUCCUGUCCUCUACUCUAACAGGCUCAGCUUUCCAUGCUGCCAGGCCUGUGAAUGGCUCUACCUUGACCUGGAAUGUCCUGACUCCUUCUUUUUGGUAGCUUCACUCUCAGGAUGCCUCCUCUGCAAAGCCUUCUUUCCCCCACUGCAAGCUAAUUGCUGCCUGCUGGGCUUCCCCAGCAGAUGUGUCCUGUAUCAUAGUACCUGCCCUGCUUCUGUGCUGUUAGCUCCUUAAUGCUGUAUUUACUGGCUUUAUGGUGUGAACAGGGAUUGUGCCACUCCUCUGGAGUCCCCAGCAUCCAGCAAAGGGCCCAGCUUAGUGUACGUAGAUAACCAAUGAAUGUAAAAUGAAAACUCAUCACUUGCCUUCCUGGGCAGAUGACCUUUCUUUAUGAUCUUGGGCAUGCCUGGAUUUAGCCCAUCAGCUUCUACCUGAGAAUGCUCUGCCUUGGAUGCCUGGACAUUGGCCCAUAGUUUCUUCUGUCCCCAGGUGCUCAGAACCCUACUCUGGAUGCUGGCCUAGGGGCUCCCUCAUCCAAGUACCUGGCUCCCUGCAGCUUGGUGUUUCCAUUUCUGGACUCUUAUCCCAAAUCCCUGGAGGUAAUUCCUCCACAUCUGACUCUCUACUUCCCAGCUCCUUGAAUUUUCCUGACUUUAGUUGUUUAAGAACCCAAGAUCCCUAAAUGCAGUGCACAUGCCUGUAAUCCCAGAGGCUCAGGAGGCUGAGGCAGGAGGAUCAUGAGUUUAAAGCCAGCUUCAGCAAUUUAGUGAGGCCUUAAGCAACUCAGUGAGACUCUGUCUCUAAAUAAAAUACAAAAAAGGGCUGGGAUGUGGCUCAGUGGUUAAGAGCCCCUCAGUUCAAUUGGUGCUACCCAACCCCCCAAAAAACAAAACAAAACCAAACAGUAUUACUUACCUGGUUUCAAGAACUCAGGACUCUGAGCCCUCCUUAUAGCUAUCCCUUCUCUUAGGACUAUCUACAGAGAGCUCCACAAAUCUGACCUUGGGAGUUGAGGGAGGGUGUGUCUUCAUGGUCUCCACUGGCUCUAUGGGUGUCUUUUGACAAACCUCUUCAUGGGACAGGAAGAGGUACAGGCACAGGCCAGUGAGCAGACUCCUGGAACGCCGUGGAAGUGAAGAAGCCGGAGAUGAAGCAGUGCUGCCAUCAGUGUGAGUUGAGCAUUCUACCUGAACCUCACAAUGGGGGGGCCUACCCCAUACUCUGACACUCCUGAGUGUAAUUCCAGCUGAGUCUCUCUGACCCCAGGCAUUCUUUUCCUUCUUUCUAACUUGAUAGAGUAUCUCUGGUCAUGAAAAUUGGCUUCUCCGUAGGCUGAUACAGUUUAUAAUGGUUUCAUGAGUGUCAGUUUGGGUAGGCUGUGUGCUCAGGUGUUUAGUCAAAUGCUAGUUUAGACAUGUUAUAAACGUGUUUUGCAGAUGUAAUUAACAUCUACAAAAUGUUAGCUUUAAGUAAAGGUUACUUUCAAUUGUAUGAGUGGACCUCAUCCAAUCAGUUGAAGGACUUAAAAGCAAAAGUUUUAAGCCCAGAAAUAAAGAGUUCUAUCUUGGGCUGGGGUUGUAGCUCAAUGGUGGAGCAAUUGCCUCAUGUGUGUGAGGUACUGGGUUCAAUCCUCAGCACCACAUUAAAAAAAACUCAAUAAAAACAAAGAUAUUGUGUCUAUCUACAACUAAAAAAAAGAGUUCUAUCUUGAGACGUUUCCAGUCUGCCCUACAGAUUUUGGACUUUCCAACCUCCACUAUUGUAUGUCAAUUAAAAUAAAUAUCCUAAAAUAAAAGGAUU